Molecule: long non-coding RNA, 1217 nt
Filed under: Serinus canaria (Common canary)
Lineage: Eukaryota; Metazoa; Chordata; Aves; Passeriformes; Fringillidae
Description: lncRNA (ENSSCAG00000008638.1)
Source: RNAcentral
UGCACAUGCCUGUAGCAAAAAGUCUAAAGCCCAGAAAUGGUGUUUAGCAGCUUAUCUUAUCUACAGAUAAGCUCAUAAAAAUGUACUGACACGUUAAAAACAGGUUUUAAAGUUCUUGGCAAACAUCUUGGGCUUUUUAUUCUUUUCUUUGCUGCAGUACAAAAAUACCAUUUCAAUUAUUCUUAUUAGCUUUUUCUGGUCUUUUUGGAAAAGGACCAAAUUAUUGAUGGGUGUUUUUAGCUGUUAAUUGUGCCUCAAGUGCUAAACUUAUUCCUGCUAUUUGUUUGCAAUAUGUUUAGGCUAUGUUUAGGCAAAUGCAAGUGUAAGUGGUUAUUCAGUGCCUUAGCACUGUGAACAGAAUGUACUGAACUCCUGGGGCUUGGUACAAAGCCUCAGCCUCCAGCACUAACAAAGCCUGUACAGGCAGCAGCUAAAAUAGGAGAACUACCUAGGCUUGACAGAGGGGGUUCAGAAGAUCUGGGAAGACCAUGAAUCAUGUGCCUAGCUUUUCUUCUAUGGAGUGGGUAAACGAAAUAAGGGCAAUUUUGCCCAUGUCCUGUUAGGUGAGGGUGCUCCGGGGGUCUGAGCAUGCUCAGCCUGUACUGCUGGGGCCAGCUCAGCAGCAAGGUUCCUCUGGGCGUGCUGACAGCCCAGUGCUCCUGGAGGAUGAGGGAGGCUUUCCCUGGCAGCUCCGCAGCGCUGGAAGCAAAGCGAGCCCCGGUGCCCAGCCUGCUGCGCGGUCACUGGCAGCAGCUCGGGAUUUCUGCACUUGUUUGCUCGUUACCCAAUCUAUUUCAAGCUGUGAUGGAAUAAGGAUGGCAUUUGAUUGCAGUACUGCUUGGCUUUUGUAACCCGUGUUUUAGAUGGGAGGUUUUUCUUUGUGUGCUUUUGUCUUCAAACAACUUCAGACUGGAAGGUUUAGGCUUGGUGCUCUCUGCUGGCCUUUGCUGUGGCCUGGUGAGACAGCUCACGACUCUCACUCCAGAGGGGGCCGGGUUAGAGCUGCACAUACAAAUACCAGAUUUGGGGCAACUGUGUACCUGAUUCAUGCACACAAAUAUCUGAUACCUGCAACACCCCAGGAGUGGAGCCCUCUCCCUGCCCUGAAAGCCCAGGGGCUGCUGAGCCAUUGUGCAGGCUGGUGCUGCAUGUGUGUCCGACAAUCACCUUCUGCACAAAGUGAAAUUUCAGCUGAUGAAACCUCCACCUGUGUGUAA